GUCCAUAUUCCUAAAAUGCAAGAAAUGACAGAUUUGGUCAGGUUUGGUGCUACUUGUACUUUACAUUAGGUGUAGUUAUAGCACAUGGUAUUACAUAUUCAGCCUUACAAAAUUGCUGCAAUGUGUUUCAGUGUUAUUUGACAUAACAGGUUAUAUGACUUAGUCAGGCCAUGGCCAGUAAGGGUCAGGGCAAAAAUUAGAGCAGCUCUGGGUGCAUUUCUGGUCAGUUACUGGGAGCAUUAUCUCUGCAUACAUGUCCUUGAGUUAUACAAAAGAUUUUCUUGAUCCAGCACGCCUCAGCUUUUACCUGAGGAUGCCUUUUACCUUAGGAGACCUCAGCGCACAUGCUGUAAUUUUUGUGUUGGUGCCAACAGAGUGGUAGGAGCACUCAAUUACGGAGAAUGCCAGCAGGAGCUUUCUGGUCUCUUGAAAAGCAUAGGACAGCCAUUGCCUUCAGCAGCGUGACUCUGAUUCCUGCCGGUACAGAGCUGAGAUAACGGAUUUCAAUCAGCAGGACCCUUUCACCGUGCUACUCAAGGCUCUACCUUACCUGUGGACAACUAAUUCUCGCCAUACGUGCUCCUGUACUAGAUGAGACGCCCCCAGCCCCGUCUCCAGGGUCACAGCCUGGUGGACGCUGCCUGGGAAAGCUGUACCAGAGGUCCGGCCCAUUCAGAGCCCUCCCAGCACCCGGUUCCUUGGUCCUCAAACUUCAGAGUGGCAUUACCAUGUGCAGUCACAGGAGGGUGCCAUGUUACUGGCAGGCAACAUCCUGUCUACACUUGCGUUGUUCAAGAUAAUACCGUCUGUCCAAUCCAGC
RNAcentral lists this long non-coding RNA (820 nucleotides) under Aquila chrysaetos chrysaetos. RNAcentral's name for it is "lncRNA (ENSACCG00020011588.1)". Lineage: Eukaryota; Metazoa; Chordata; Aves; Accipitriformes; Accipitridae. The record is from RNAcentral.